Molecule: ribosomal RNA, 253 nt
Filed under: uncultured bacterium
Lineage: Bacteria
Description: partial 16S ribosomal RNA
Rfam family: Bacterial small subunit ribosomal RNA
Source: RNAcentral
UACGGAGGGUGCAAGCGUUAUCCGGAUUCACUGGGUUUAAAGGGUGCGUAGGUGGGCAAGUAAGUCAGUGGUGAAAUCUCCGGGCUUAACCCGGAAACUGCCAUUGAUACUAUUUGUCUUGAAUACUGUGGAGGUCAGCGGAAUAUGUCAUGUAGCGGUGAAAUGCUUAGAUAUGACAUAGAACACCCAUUGCGAAGGCAGCUUACUACGCCUAUAUUGACGCUGAGGCACGAAAGCGUGGGGAUCAAACAGG